This 400-nucleotide ribosomal RNA is filed under the name uncultured soil bacterium. RNAcentral's name for it is "bacterial SSU rRNA". It matches the Rfam family "Bacterial small subunit ribosomal RNA", at positions 26 to 450 of the family's 1533-position model. The record is from RNAcentral.
AGAACGAACGCUGGCGGCAUGCCUAAUACAUGCAAGUCGAACGAAGGCUUCGGCCUUAGUGGCGCACGGGUGCGUAACGCGUGGGAAUCUGCCCCUUGGUUCGGAAUAACAGUUGGAAACGACUACUAAUACCGGAUGAUGACGAAAGUCCAAAGAUUUAUCGCCAAGGGAUGAGCCCGCGUAGGAUUAGCUAGUUGGUGAGGUAAAGGCUCACCAAGGCGACGAUCCUUAGCUGGUCUGAGAGGAUGAUCAGCCACACUGGGACUGAGACACGGCCCAGACCUCCGUACGGGAGGCAGCAGUAGGGAAUAGUGGACAAUGGGCGAAAGCCUGAUCCAGCAAGUGCCGCGUGAGUGAUGAAGGCCGUUAGGGUUGUAAAGCUACCUUUACCGAGAUGAUA